This 255-nucleotide ribosomal RNA is filed under the name uncultured Burkholderiales bacterium. RNAcentral's name for it is "partial 16S ribosomal RNA". It matches the Rfam family "Bacterial small subunit ribosomal RNA", at positions 548 to 802 of the family's 1533-position model. The record is from RNAcentral. Lineage: Bacteria; Pseudomonadati; Pseudomonadota; Betaproteobacteria; Burkholderiales.
GAAUUACUGGGCGUAAAGCGUGCGCAGGCGGUUUUGUAAGACAGUGGUGAAAUCCCCGGGCUCAACCUGGGAACUGCCAUUGUGACUGCAAGGCUAGAGUGCGGCAGAGGGGGAUGGAAUUCCGCGUGUAGCAGUGAAAUGCGUAGAUAUGCGGAGGAACACCGAUGGCGAAGGCAAUCCCCUGGGCCUGCACUGACGCUCAUGCACGAAAGCGUGGGGAGCAAACAGGAUUAGAUACCCUGGUAGUCAAGGGCG